RNAcentral lists this microRNA (24 nucleotides) under Euprymna scolopes. RNAcentral describes it as "Esc-Mir-12499_5p (mature (guide))". Lineage: Eukaryota; Metazoa; Mollusca; Cephalopoda; Sepiida; Sepiolidae. RNAcentral also lists the same sequence under 3 other names. The record is from RNAcentral.
AACACCCGAGUGAGCGGCUGAGGA